AACUUUUAACGGUGGAUCUCUUAGCUCCUGCAUUGAUGAACAACGCAGCCAGCUGUGCUAGGUUGUGUGAACUGCAUAAUUCAGUGAAUCACCGAAUCUUUGAACGCAAAUGGCGCUCUCGGUUAUACCGUGAGCAUGUCCGUCUGAGUGUUG
This is a ribosomal RNA of Dendronephthya gigantea, 153 nucleotides long. RefSeq annotates it as 5.8S ribosomal RNA. The transcript has a single exon. Lineage: Eukaryota; Metazoa; Cnidaria; Anthozoa; Malacalcyonacea; Nephtheidae. The record is from RefSeq and is a predicted model, not a curated record.